Molecule: ribosomal RNA, 155 nt
Filed under: Solms-laubachia linearis
Lineage: Eukaryota; Viridiplantae; Streptophyta; Magnoliopsida; Brassicales; Brassicaceae
Also listed under: 2 other names
Description: 5.8S ribosomal RNA
Rfam family: 5.8S ribosomal RNA
About the family: 5.8S ribosomal RNA (5.8S rRNA) is a component of the large subunit of the eukaryotic ribosome. It is transcribed by RNA polymerase I as part of the 45S precursor that also contains 18S and 28S rRNA. Functionally, it is thought that 5.8S rRNA may be involved in ribosome translocation.
Source: RNAcentral
AAAACGACUCUCGGCAACGGAUAUCUCGGCUCUCGCAUCGAUGAAGAACGUAGCGAAAUGCGAUACUUGGUGUGAAUUGCAGAAUCCCGUGAACCAUCGAGUCUUUGAACGCAAGUUGCGCCCCAAGCCUUCAGGCCGAGGGCACGUCUGCCUGG